GAUGAACGCUGACAGAAUGCUUAACACAUGCAAGUCUACUUGAAUUUGGGUUUUUUAACUUAGAUUUGGGUGGCGGACGGGUGAGUAACGCGUAAAGAACUUGCCUCACAGCUAGGGACAACAUUUGGAAACGAAUGCUAAUACCUGAUAUUAUGAUUAUAAGGCAUCUUAGAAUUAUGAAAGCUAUAUGCGCUGUGAGAGAGCUUUGCGUCCCAUUAGCUAGUUGGAGAGGUAACGGCUCACCAAGGCGAUGAUGGGUAGCCGGCCUGAGAGGGUGAACGGCCACAAGGGGACUGAGACACGGCCCUUACACCUACGGGAGGCAGCAGUGGGGAUUAUUGGACAAUGGACCAAGAGUCUGAUCCAGCACUUCUGUGUGCACGAUGACGUUUUUCGGAAUGUAAAGUGCUUUCAGUUGGGAAGAAAAAAAUGACGGUACCAACAGAAGAAGUGACGGCUAAAUACGUG
RNAcentral lists this ribosomal RNA (468 nucleotides) under uncultured bacterium. RNAcentral describes it as "partial 16S ribosomal RNA". It matches the Rfam family "Bacterial small subunit ribosomal RNA", at positions 28 to 507 of the family's 1533-position model. The record is from RNAcentral.